This is a long non-coding RNA of Centrocercus urophasianus (Greater sage-grouse), 2412 nucleotides long. RefSeq lists it as uncharacterized. The record is from RefSeq and is a predicted model, not a curated record. The transcript has 2 exons. Lineage: Eukaryota; Metazoa; Chordata; Aves; Galliformes; Phasianidae.
AUAAAGGUUGUGGCACAUCCUUGUCAGAACAAGCUUUUCCUUGGUGGACACUGUUUAUUUUCUACAAACAAUAAAGCCAAAUUUCACUGGUUGGAGCAUCAGAGAUGCUCUUCUGAUCUUAGAAGCUGGUUUGUCCAAUUUCCUCUUGCAGCUCAGAUUUCUCAGCCCUCAAGGACUCUCUGGGCAACCCUGACAGCUUUCCUGAAAAAGGCUAGAGAAGGAAUGAUGGAUGGGGGUCAGAAGUAUGCCUUUCUUAUCUAUCCAUAGUCUUGGAUACCAUAUAAUAAAGAGGACAACACCAGUGAGGUGAUGGCAGUCUUGCAAGGUUAUCAGCACAGCAGGACUGAGGAAUGUGAAAGCUUUCUCAAAGCCUACUGCCUAUCAGAUACCCAGGGAGAUGAUUUUAGGUGGGGCACAAACCACACAAAGGGCACAGUGCAGUGUUGCAGGCACCACAGCAUCACAGACAGUACAAAAUGGAUCAGAAAGGGAUUAGUUGUGGGUUAACACAAAGUCUAAGGAAAGCCCUUCUUGGUCACUGAAAUGCUGAGGUAUGAGGCUGUUUGGUGUCAGAUUUUCUCCCAUCUCUGUUGCUGGCUGGAAUUGGGAUCCUGACCUGGGCUCUCCCUACAGGUUCUCCAUCGUCCUGCUCUGCGCUGGUAGCGCUGCUCAUCCUGAUGGUGAUGGUGAGCGGGGUCCUGCUGUGGCUCUACCUGAAGAGCAGGUGCACUGGAACAGGCCAAGCUGCAGCCCUUAAAUGUCCCAGGGAGCGAGGUGCCUCUGCAAUGCCCUUCCAGACUGCAGGAGCCAUCUACCAUCCAGCUGAAGGACAAUUCCACAAGGAUGCUGAUACAGAGACAACUGAGCUCAUCAGAGAAGAUGCUCUCUUGUGAUGCUGGUACAAUCCCUUCUGCAGAAGCAGCACUAUCAGCCCACAUUGUGGGGUCAUCAGCCAAGCUCAUUCCUCUUUUCCUCCUGCAUCUCAUUUUUCAGAGCAAAUGCUUUUUCCCUUAAGCUUCUGCAGAACUGCAGGAAGCCCUCACAUGCUUUCGAGGAGACUGCAAAGCACAGCUUAUGGGCUGGACAUUUAUAAAACAGUCUGUACCAAUGACUUAUACUCAGGAGCCCCAAAACAGCUAUCCAAAGUCUUCUGAAGGUUGUUUGAUCCAGGUCAAUUUCAGAGGUUUUCCGAUGGCAUGUACCAGACAGUAGGACAGCCUGGUGGCCGUGCAGCCUGACAUCAAGCUGAGCAGAGUAGCAGGGAAUCUGAAACAGGACUAAAACUGCUACUGCUAACAAAUUAAAGGAGAAGUGUGUCCCCAACCCUUCCAGCUGUGGUGAGCAUUAAUGCUGUGACAUGUAACGCUCUGUGCUCCUCUGCAGGGGAGCCAGCCAGGGCUGCCUGGUGCCUCCUGCAUUGGGUGGCUUCCCUCAACCUAGCAAACACAGGCAAGCCCCCAUUUCUUGUCUAUACCAGGCACAAGAUUGUAUUCUUGGCUGAGCUAACAGUGUUGCCAGCAGGUCAAGAAACAACUCCUCCCCUCUAUUUAGCACUGGUGAGGGUGCAACUGUAAUGCUGGAUCCAGUUCUGAAUCUGCCAAUACAAGAAAGACAUGGACACACCAGAAAGAGUCUAAUGGCAUUCAAAAGGAAGAUGUAUGAACACAUCCAGGUGCGUAUCCACAAAGGUGCUUUCACAGACACAGAGUGCCCAAUGUGAAAAAAAUUCAGCUCCAGAAGACAUUUAGGAAGACCAAGGAUAGCAUCUCAAACACAACAGAUAAGUGCUUCCAAGCAAUGGUCUACCGAGUGUGAGUUGUUUAGAGCACUGUCUCAAGUGUUUCAGACAGACAGAACAAACACUCUGAACGAUGGCAGACAGUGCUGUCUGUGAGAUCCUCAGUGACUACUGUGCCUCGUGGAAUGUUAAAUGGUGUCACGUUACCAAGGGGGACUGGGUACAGAGAGGGAGACAGCAUGGCAACAUUCUGCCUCUUUCAGUCUUGCCAGCUCAAGGCAGUAUGGGUAGGUUGUGCCUGAACAUGUCCAGUCCUAUCUCUAACUUUGGAGGGGCUGGUUUCUUUCCAAUGCUCAUCAGUGCUAAUCUAUGUAUCAGCUAUAUUCAUUAUUUACAAUAGAUUACAAACCAUAUACAGCAAAAUAAAUUCCUCUUGCCUUACUGCCUUCAUUACUUAGCCAUGUGAUAAAGAUCUGGAGCAGAAUGCAGACAGCAGCCAGCUACACAGACAUGGUAUGGGUGCUGCAUCUGCAAAUACAGUGACUCAUUAAGGGACUGAGAUACAUUAAUCAACUGCAUCUAGAAGAGGAUAGUUCAUGGAUAAACUGUCCUUCUUAAAUCAAAGUCUUGACAUUAGGAGCAAUAAUAAAAAAAUAAACCCCAUGCAAACCUUC